UCCCCUCCUUUUGAAGUUUGAUUUCUGGCUCAGGACGAACGCUGGCGGCGUGCCUAAUACAUGCAAGUUGAGCGCUGAAGGUUGGUACUUGUACCAACUGGAUGAGCAGCGAACGGGUGAGUAACGCGUGGGGAAUCUGCCUUUGAGCGGGGGACAACAUUUGGAAACGAAUGCUAAUACCGCAUAAAAACUUUAAACACAAGUUUUAAGUUUGAAAGAUGCAAUUGCAUCACUCAGAGAUGAUCCCGCGUUGUAUUAGCUAGUUGGUGAGGUAAAGGCUCACCAAGGCGAUGAUACAUAGCCGACCUGAGAGGGUGAUCGGCCACAUUGGGACUGAGACACGGCCCAAACUCCUACGGGAGGCAGCAGUAGGGAAUCUUCGGCAAUGGACGAAAGUCUGACCGAGCAACGCCGCGUGAGUGAAGAAGGUUUUCGGAUCGUAAAACUCUGUUGGUAGAGAAGAACGUUGGUGAGAGUGGAAAGCUCAUCAAGUGACGGUAACUACCCAGAAAGGGACGGCUAACUACGUGCCAGCAGCCGCGGUAAUACGUAGGUCCCGAGCGUUGUCCGGAUUUAUUGGGCGUAAAGCGAGCGCAGGUGGUUUAUUAAGUCUGGUGUAAAAGGCAGUGGCUCAACCAUUGUAUGCAUUGGAAACUGGUAGACUUGAGUGCAGGAGAGGAGAGUGGAAUUCCAUGUGUAGCGGUGAAAUGCGUAGAUAUAUGGAGGAACACCGGUGGCGAAAGCGGCUCUCUGGCCUGUAACUGACACUGAGGCUCGAAAGCGUGGGGAGCAAACAGGAUUAGAUACCCUGGUAGUCCACGCCGUAAACGAUGAGUGCUAGAUGUAGGGAGCUAUAAGUUCUCUGUAUCGCAGCUAACGCAAUAAGCACUCCCCGCCCUGGGGAGUCCCCG
RNAcentral lists this ribosomal RNA (911 nucleotides) under Lactococcus lactis. RNAcentral's name for it is "bacterial SSU rRNA". It matches the Rfam family "Bacterial small subunit ribosomal RNA", at positions 1 to 886 of the family's 1533-position model. Lineage: Bacteria; Bacillati; Bacillota; Bacilli; Lactobacillales; Streptococcaceae. The record is from RNAcentral.